GGGGAUGCUAGGCAUCGAUAAUAAAAUUUUCUUAAAAACAUUCAGAAGUGCUCAUCAGGGGCGCCACUUUAAACCGCGCCUGUAAACAAAAUAAGCGUCAAAAACUUAUUAAGCAAAGCGACAUUUUCUUGGAAAAUGCCGGCCUUUGCAACUGUUGCCGCUUAAUAGCCGCAACCAUCCGCCCGGCUUAGCCUAAGGGUCGGAUCACGGGUGUAAUAUUUUAGGCUCGAAUAGCCGUGGGGGCUGUUGUCAGGUGCUCUUUCGAGCAUAAAUUUUUAGAUUUUGAGGAAAUUUUUAGAAAAAUUUUUGAGGCAAUAUAAUAAUAUUGUCGAAAAUAUUUUUCUAAAAAUUUACCGAAAUAUGGAAAUUUAGGACGAAUAUGGCACCUGACAACAGCCCCUAGCUUUUGCCGGUUAUUUUAAAAAAUUAAAGCUGGCUAACGCCGAUUUUGUUAGGUUUUUACGGUGUUAGUGAGAAAAUAAAUCUGAAUAAUCUGUAAAUAUGUUUUAAGAAAUUUAUUAGACAGGGGUUCAAUUCCCCUCAUCUCCACAA
This 552-nucleotide transfer-messenger RNA is filed under the name bacterium. It matches the Rfam family "transfer-messenger RNA". From Rfam's summary of the family: Bacterial tmRNA, also known as 10Sa RNA or SsrA, is named for its dual tRNA and mRNA-like properties. The record is from RNAcentral.